RNAcentral lists this ribosomal RNA (434 nucleotides) under uncultured Oscillospiraceae bacterium. Its description in RNAcentral is "partial 16S ribosomal RNA". It matches the Rfam family "Bacterial small subunit ribosomal RNA", at positions 341 to 792 of the family's 1533-position model. The record is from RNAcentral. Lineage: Bacteria; Bacillati; Bacillota; Clostridia; Eubacteriales; Oscillospiraceae.
ACGGAAGGCAGCAGUGGGGAAUAUUGGGCAAUGGGGGAAACCCUGACCCAGCAACGCCGCGUGAAGGAAGAAGGCCUUCGGGUUGUAAACUUCUUUUGCCAGGGACGAUAAUGACGGUACCUGGAGAAAAAGCAACGGCUAACUACGUGCCAGCAGCCGCGGUAAUACGUAGGUUGCAAGCGUUGUCCGGAUUUACUGGGUGUAAAGGGCGUGUAGGCGGAGCUGCAAGUCAGAUGUGAAAUCCCGGGGCUCAACCCCGGAACUGCAUUUGAAACUGUAGCCCUUGAGUAUCGGAGAGGCAAGCGGAAUUCCUAGUGUAGCGGUGAAACGCGUAGAUAUUAGGAGGAACACCAGUGGCGAAGGCGGCUUGCUGGACGACAACUGACGCUGAGGCGCGAAAGCGUGGGGAGCAAACAGGAUUAGAUACCCUGGUA